Molecule: ribosomal RNA, 324 nt
Filed under: Triticum aestivum (bread wheat)
Lineage: Eukaryota; Viridiplantae; Streptophyta; Magnoliopsida; Poales; Poaceae
Description: partial small subunit ribosomal RNA
Source: RNAcentral
AUGCAGAUGAAUAUGAUCGGAGUGGAAGAAGAAUCAAGAACUUAUAUUUAUACCAUGAGGUCUAUGAAAAAUAAUAAACUUGCUGAGGAGAAAACACAUGAUGUCAUUGCGUCGCUUUCGAAUCACCGGGACAAAGUGGACACCAUCAUGACAGUGUCAUUGACAAUAGCCACACUACAGCAUCAUGCGCCGCUCUUCCUUGACCAUAAUCCUCCCUCGAUAUGGAGAGAGGUGAUUCUGAACAUAGCUUCCAAGCCUUCAUGGCGGGGACAUCAACAGACAAUACUAUGCAUUUGUUUAGGUUCUCUGCUACUCACUAUUUGA